CCCGCACAAGCGGUGGAGCAUGUGGUUUAAUUCGACGCAACGCGAAGAACCUUACCUGGUCUUGACAUCCCGGGAAUCUUUAGGAGACUAGAGAGUGCCUCGCAAGAGGAGCCCGGUGACAGGUGCUGCAUGGCUGUCGUCAGCUCGUGUCGUGAGAUGUUGGGUUAAGUCCCGCAACGAGCGCAACCCUUGUCUUUAGUUGCCAGCAUUAAGUUGGGCACUCUAAAGAGACUGCCGGUGUCAAACCGGAGGAAGGUGGGGAUGACGUCAAGUCCUCAUGGCCUUUAUGACCAGGGCUACACACGUACUACAAUGGCAUAUACAAAGGGCGGCGACAUCGCGAGGUGAAGCGAAUCCCAAAAAUAUGUCUCAGUCCGGAUUGGAGUCUGCAACUCGACUCCAUGAAGUUGGAAUCGCUAGUAAUCGCGGAUCAGCACGCCGCGGUGAAUACGUUCCCGGGCCUU
Molecule: ribosomal RNA, 464 nt
Filed under: uncultured Desulfobacterium sp.
Lineage: Bacteria; Pseudomonadati; Thermodesulfobacteriota; Desulfobacteria; Desulfobacterales; Desulfobacteriaceae
Description: bacterial SSU rRNA
Rfam family: Bacterial small subunit ribosomal RNA
Source: RNAcentral